UGUGGGAGGGGGCUUGCCCCCGAUUGCGGAGUGUCAGUUUGCAUUUUUGUUUCUGAUCUACCGCUAUCGGGGGCAAGCCCCCUCCCACA
Molecule: unclassified non-coding RNA, 89 nt
Filed under: Pseudomonas rhodesiae
Lineage: Bacteria; Pseudomonadati; Pseudomonadota; Gammaproteobacteria; Pseudomonadales; Pseudomonadaceae
Source: RNAcentral